CUCGUAGGCGGUUCGGUAAGUCGGGUGUGAAAACUUGAGGCUCAACCUCAAGAGGCCACCCGAUACUGCUGUGACUCGAGUGCGGUAGGGGAGCGGGGAAUUCCUGGUGUAGCGGUGAAAUGCGCAGAUAUCAGGAGGAACACCAGUGGCGAAGGCGCCGCUCUGGGCCGUAACUGACGCUGAGGAGCGAAAGCGUGGGUAGCAAAUA
This 208-nucleotide ribosomal RNA is filed under the name uncultured bacterium. RNAcentral describes it as "partial 16S ribosomal RNA". It matches the Rfam family "Bacterial small subunit ribosomal RNA", at positions 568 to 774 of the family's 1533-position model. The record is from RNAcentral.